Long non-coding RNA from Lutra lutra (Eurasian river otter), 305 nucleotides. RefSeq lists it as uncharacterized. Lineage: Eukaryota; Metazoa; Chordata; Mammalia; Carnivora; Mustelidae. The transcript is spliced from 3 exons. The record is from RefSeq and is a predicted model, not a curated record.
GGAGAACAGGUUUCUGAGUGGUGGUGGUGGCCGUACCAGCAUGUGUAGAAGGACUUCAGGAGGGAAAGAAUUGGGUGUGUUCUGGAAGCAGAAAGUUUGGCAAACCAGCCAGGAGACCUCACUUGGAUGCGUACUGCUCACCACAAAGCUGCUGCAGUAGAACAAUCCUGGGACCUCUGAGAAGAGCUGGCCAGAGGUGAUUCCCAAAUAAGAAAAAAUAUUGAAACAUUAAUUGCUAAGGGCAUCUAAGUUUGCCAAAUUUUGUCUUCUUUUAUGGAGAAGAUGAAGAUAAAUUUGGGUCUAUG